Molecule: ribosomal RNA, 239 nt
Filed under: uncultured bacterium
Lineage: Bacteria
Description: partial small subunit ribosomal RNA
Rfam family: Bacterial small subunit ribosomal RNA
Source: RNAcentral
AGGAUAAACGCUGGCGGCGUGCCUAACACAUGCAAGUCGAACGUCCUACGCAAGUAGGGAGUGGCGGACGGGUGAGUAACACGUGGGCAAUCUACCUUUCGGUGAGGAAUACCGGCGAGAAAUCGCCGACAAUACCGCAUACGCUUCGCAAGAAGCAAAGUCGCAAGACGCCGGAGGAGGAGCCUGCGCCCGAUUAGCUGGUUGGUGGAGUAAUGGUCUACCAAGGCGACGACGGGUAG